UACAGAGGUGCCGAGCGUUAGGCGGAAUCACUGGGCUUAAAGCGCGCGUAGGCGGACGGGUAAGUACCUUGUGAAAUCCCACGGCUCAACCGUGGAACGGCUGGGUAUACUGCCCGUCUUGAGGCACUCAGGGGCGAGCGGAACAAAUGGUGGAGCGGUGAAAUGCGUAGAUAUCAUUUGGAACGCCGACGGUGAAAACAGCUCGCUGGGGGUGUCCUGACGCUGAGGCGCGAAAGCCAGGGGAGCGAACGGG
Molecule: ribosomal RNA, 253 nt
Filed under: uncultured bacterium
Lineage: Bacteria
Description: partial 16S ribosomal RNA
Rfam family: Bacterial small subunit ribosomal RNA
Source: RNAcentral